This 433-nucleotide ribosomal RNA is filed under the name uncultured bacterium. Its description in RNAcentral is "partial 16S ribosomal RNA". It matches the Rfam family "Bacterial small subunit ribosomal RNA", at positions 29 to 507 of the family's 1533-position model. The record is from RNAcentral.
AGCGAACGCUGGCGGCAGGCCUAACACAUGCAAGUCGAACGAACUCUUCGGAGUUAGUGGCGGGCGGGUGAGUAACACGUGGGAACGUGCCUUUUGGUUCGGAAUAACUCAGGGAAACUUGUGCUAAUACCGAAUGUGCCCUUCGGGGGAAAGAUUUAUCGCCAUUAGAGCGGCCCGCGUCUGAUUAGCUAGUUGGUGAGGUAACGGCUCACCAAGGCGACGAUCAGUAGCUGGUCUGAGAGGAUGACCAGCCACACUGGGACUGAGACACGGCCCAGACUCCUACGGGAGGCAGCAGUGGGGAAUCUUGCGCAAUGGGCGAAACCCUGACGCAGCCAUGCCGCGUGAAUGAUGAAGGUCUUAGGAUUGUAAAAUUCUUUCACCGGGGACGAUAAUGACGGUACCCGGAGAAGAAGCCCCGGCUAACUUCGUG